GAUGAACGCUAGCGAUAGGCUUAACACAUGCAAGUCGAGGGGCAGCACAAGGUAGCUUGCUCUCUGGGUGGCGACCGGCGCACGGGUGCGUAACGCGUAUGCAACUUGCCCUAUACAGGAGGAUAACCCGUCGAAAGACGGACUAAUACUGCGUAUGCUCACAACUUGGCAUCAAGUGGUGAGGAAAGAAAUUCGGUAUAGGAUAGGCAUGCGUCCCAUUAGCUUGUUGGUGAGGUAACGGCUCACCAAGGCAACGAUGGGUAGGGGAACUGAGAGGUUUAUCCCCCACACUGGUACUGAGACACGGACCAGACUCCUACGGGAGGCAGCAGUGAGGAAUAUUGGUCAAUGGGCGCGAGCCUGAACCAGCCAAGUCGCGUGAAGGAUGACUGUCUUAUGGAUUGUAAACUUCUUUUAGACGGGAAUAACAAGAGUCACGUGUGACUCCCUGCAUGUACCGUAUGAAUAAGCAUCGGCUAACUCCGUG
RNAcentral lists this ribosomal RNA (487 nucleotides) under uncultured bacterium. RNAcentral describes it as "partial 16S ribosomal RNA". It matches the Rfam family "Bacterial small subunit ribosomal RNA", at positions 28 to 507 of the family's 1533-position model. The record is from RNAcentral.